RNAcentral lists this transfer RNA (61 nucleotides) under Amblyomma maculatum (Gulf Coast tick). Its description in RNAcentral is "tRNA-Gly". The record is from RNAcentral. Lineage: Eukaryota; Metazoa; Arthropoda; Arachnida; Ixodida; Ixodidae.
UGUUUAAUUAGUAUAAAAAGUACAUUUAAUUUCCAAUUAAAAAGUUUAUUUAAAUUAAACA